Molecule: ribosomal RNA, 742 nt
Filed under: Lactiplantibacillus plantarum
Lineage: Bacteria; Bacillati; Bacillota; Bacilli; Lactobacillales; Lactobacillaceae
Description: bacterial SSU rRNA
Rfam family: Bacterial small subunit ribosomal RNA
Source: RNAcentral
AGUCGACGACUCUGGUAUUGAUUGGUGCUUGCAUCAUGAUUUACAUUUGAGUGAGUGGCGAACUGGUGAGUAACACGUGGGAAACCUGCCCAGAAGCGGGGGAUAACACCUGGAAACAGAUGCUAAUACCGCAUAACAACUUGGACCGCAUGGUCCGAGUUUGAAAGAUGGCUUCGGCUAUCACUUUUGGAUGGUCCCGCGGCGUAUUAGCUAGAUGGUGGGGUAACGGCUCACCAUGGCAAUGAUACGUAGCCGACCUGAGAGGGUAAUCGGCCACAUUGGGACUGAGACACGGCCCAAACUCCUACGGGAGGCAGCAGUAGGGAAUCUUCCACAAUGGACGAAAGUCUGAUGGAGCAACGCCGCGUGAGUGAAGAAGGGUUUCGGCUCGUAAAACUCUGUUGUUAAAGAAGAACAUAUCUGAGAGUAACUGUUCAGGUAUUGACGGUAUUUAACCAGAAAGCCACGGCUAACUACGUGCCAGCAGCCGCGGUAAUACGUAGGUGGCAAGCGUUGUCCGGAUUUAUUGGGCGUAAAGCGAGCGCAGGCGGUUUUUUAAGUCUGAUGUGAAAGCCUUCGGCUCAACCGAAGAAGUGCAUCGGAAACUGGGAAACUUGAGUGCAGAAGAGGACAGUGGAACUCCAUGUGUAGCGGUGAAAUGCGUAGAUAUAUGGAAGAACACCAGUGGCGAAAGCGGCUGUCUGGUCUGUAACUGACGCUGAGGCUCGAAAGUAUGGGUAGC